RNAcentral lists this non-coding RNA (176 nucleotides) under Bradyrhizobium sp. Its description in RNAcentral is "FMN sequence". It matches the Rfam family "FMN riboswitch aptamer (RFN element)". From Rfam's summary of the family: The RFN element is a highly conserved domain that is found frequently in the 5'-untranslated regions of prokaryotic mRNAs that encode for flavin mononucleotide (FMN) biosynthesis and transport proteins. This element is a metabolite-dependent riboswitch that directly binds FMN in the absence of proteins. In Bacillus subtilis, the riboswitch most likely controls gene expression by causing premature transcription termination within the 5' untranslated region of the ribDEAHT operon and precluding access to the ribosome-binding site of ypaA mRNA. The record is from RNAcentral. Lineage: Bacteria; Pseudomonadati; Pseudomonadota; Alphaproteobacteria; Hyphomicrobiales; Nitrobacteraceae.
CGAUGUUCUCAGGGCGGGGUGAAAGUCCCCACCGGCGGUAAGGGUCGAAAGGCCUAAGCCCGCGAGCGCCUUCCCCAAGGAUAUUCCUGAGAAAGGGAUAUUCCCAAAGGGAAGGGUCAGCAGAUUCGGUGCAACUCCGAAGCCGACGGUUAAAGUCCGGAUGAAAGAGAACGGUC